Molecule: ribosomal RNA, 496 nt
Filed under: uncultured bacterium
Lineage: Bacteria
Description: partial 16S ribosomal RNA
Rfam family: Bacterial small subunit ribosomal RNA
Source: RNAcentral
AUGCACGCUGGCGGCGUGCCUCAUACCUGCCAGUCGAGCGCACAGAUGAGGAGCUUGCUCCUCUGACGUUAGCGGCGGACGGGUGAGUAACACGUGGAUAACCUACCUAUAAGACUGGGAUAACUUCGGGAAACCGGAGCUAAUACCGGAUAAUAUAUUGAACCGCAUGGUUCAAUAGUGAAAGACGGUUUUGCUGUCACUUAUAGAUGGAUCCGCGCCGCAUUAGCUAGUUGGUAAGGUAACGGCUUACCAAGGCAACGAUGCGUAGCCGACCUGAGAGGGUGAUCGGCCACACUGGAACUGAGACACGGUCCAGACUCCUACGGGAGGCAGCAGUAGGGAAUCUUCCGCAAUGGGCGAAAGCCUGACGGAGCAACGCCGCGUGAGUGAUGAAGGUCUUCGGAUCGUAAAACUCUGUUAUUAGGGAAGAACAAAUGUGUAAGUAACUAUGCACGUCUUGACGGUACCUAAUCAGAAAGCCACGGCUAACUACGUG